This 10867-nucleotide long non-coding RNA is filed under the name Medicago truncatula (barrel medic). Its description in RNAcentral is "long non-coding RNA (MTRU_LNC006215)". Lineage: Eukaryota; Viridiplantae; Streptophyta; Magnoliopsida; Fabales; Fabaceae. The record is from RNAcentral.
AUGCCUUUAUUGCUUGAUUGAUCCAUGCAAAUGUACUUUCCUGGACAUAUAUUCAUGUCACAUGUGCCUUGCAUGACCUUGAUCACAGUUCUUGAGAUUCUUGGCUUGUAUAAGAACAACCUUCUGAACUAGGUUGCUUCUGAACAACCUUCUGAACUAGGUUGCUUCUGAACUGGUUGCUUCUGAACUGGUUGCUUCUGAACAACCUUCUGAACUAGGUUGCUUCUGAACAACCUUCUGAACUAGGUUGCUUCUGAACUGGUUGCUUCUGAACAACCUUCUGAACUGGGUUCUGAACAACCUUCUGAACUGGGUUGCUUCUGAACAGGGUUGCUUCUGAACAAGGUUGCUUCUGAACAGGGUUGCUUCUGAGCAAGGUUGCUUCUGAACAGGGUUGCUUCUGAGCUCUCAUCAGAACGUUCUGAUCAACUUUCUGAUCAACAUUCUGAACUAACUUUCUGAACUUUAGAAUUAGUUCAUGGAUUCAAUGUCCUUUGAUUUUAUGCAUCUUGGUAUGAUUCAAACCUUGUUCCUGUCUUAGUGAAAACACUCAAGAGCACAAGUUAAAUACCAAGGAAUUAAUCAAAGUCCAUUAAUUCUUUAAUCAUAUUUGUUUAUUAUCUUUAAAAUUAAUUAGGGAUUUUGCCUCAACAAUCUCCCCCUUUUUGAAGAUGAUAAACUUAUGAUUUAGGAUUAAGGAUUUUGAUUAUAUAACAGAGCUAAAAAAUUUAUUUUAAUGCUCCCCCUCAUUUUUAUAAUCCAUUAUGCAGAGUUUUUAAGAACUUUAAAAAGCUCCCCCUCAAUUUCAUAAUCUUUUGCAUAAAGUAAAAAUAUGCAAGACUGAACCAAAUUCAAUAUUCAUUCAUUUGAUAUAACAUGAAGUACAUUACAUGAAAAGAUGGUUCAAAAACAAAAAAGAAAAUCAAAGUGCAUGUGAUCAAGAAAAGCAAAAGAUGGAAUUUAUAAAUUCCAAUAUCAAUUGAUCACCUAGACCUACUUAGGGCCUAUAACUAAAAAAAACUUAAAGACUUUGAAUCCUAAAGCUUCUCCCCCUUUUGUCAUCUGCAAAAAGGAUAGGGAGGAUUUUUGAAAAGAUUCAUGGAGUGGAGUCUCCAGAAUCAGAAGAGGGUUCUGCUUCAAAGAUGGAGGGGUCAUCAAAUACUGGAGGUGGAAUGGCCAAACCAGGAGCAUGGACUUUGACAGUCCAGUCAGCCAGCACACAAGCAAUUUUGUGGGUCUUGGUGGAGACUCUAAGUGCCCUUGAGGCUAUCUUCUCUGCUCUUGAAGGCUUAGCAGGUUCAGCAGGACCAGAGGCUACAGCUUGCACUCUGUUUGCAGACACAAAGGUGUUGAGAGAGUCAAAUAAAGCAGCCAUGUUUGGAAGUUUGCUUCUUGUGGUGGUCUUCAUUUGUGGUGGUGGUGGAGUGGAUGAAGGAAUGAAAGGUGGAGUAGGAAGGUCAGAGACCAAGAAGUUGGUAGCACCUGCAACAGAAUCCAUGGAGGAGGAUGAUGGGUUAACAUUUUGACCAUUUUGGGCCAUGAGCUGUACCUCCUCAGAGGGCAGAGAUCCUGAUGCCAAAGGCAUGGGAUCAACUGACAGCUGGCCAUCUGGAGGAAGUUCAUUUGAGGCAUGCUGAUCAUCAAGCUCUUGAUUGUCUUGAUCAGCCAUGACAUGAAUACCUUCAUCAUUCUGGGCUUCAGUUACUGCAACAUUCUGACCGGCAGAAGUUUCAACCUUCUGAACAUUCUGAACAGCAGGAAUUUCAACAUUCUGACCUUCUGGAGCUUGCUGAGUUGUUUCUUGUCCAUCUUGAAACAACUCACUAUUGAAGUCAAUGUUGAUAUCUUCAAUAUUGAGAUCAAAACCAGUUGAGAACUCCACAUCUUGAGCUUCUUCUUCAAUGUUCAUAUUUGAAGCUAAGAGCUCAGCCACUUCCUGAGUUUCUCCAUCAACAAUCUCCUUUGCAAGCUUGGAGACUUCAGAGAACAAAUUUUCUGCUGGUGGAGAGGGAGUUUUGGUAUCUGUAAUCUCUUCAACCCUUCUUUUCUUCACAGCUUUCUGAACAUUCUGAUCAGAAUUUCUUUUACCAGAUCCAGAGGGUCCAGAAGUUUUGGAGGCUGGCAUGUUGGAUGAAGUAAUAUGGAGUUGACCUAAGGUCUUGGAAGAAAAGGUCAUAAAAUCCAGCUUGCGUUUCUCUCCUUCAAGGGGCACUUUUGCCUUUUGAAAAAUGGAAGUGAGAUGCAUUCCAUAGGGUAGUCCAGCAGAUGUUUGUUUUAUGGCUAGACAUGAAUCAAUCAUGUGUUGAAUAAUGAUAAAACACAGAUUUAACUUAAUCUUUUUCAUGAGAUGGUAGAUGAAACAAAGAUCUAUGUCAGAGACAAGUUCAAAAGAUCCACAUCUAGGUAAAAGACAAUGCCUAAUCAUGUUGUGAAGAAUUUUGGGAGUAUCUUCCAGGUUUGUGGAGUUAAAGGUGUGAUUUUCUUUGGUGUAUUUAACUAUGAGUUUGUUACGGUUAACUCUAGACUCAUCAAACCAGAAGCUAGAGUAUAGCUGAUUACCUUCAUUUGGAAUUUUGAAUGCUUCAGAGACAAAUUCCUGAGUCAUCUUGAUCUUUACACCUUUGACUGAUGAUAUGAGAAACUUCUCAUUUCCAUUCUUCUUUUCCUGAACUGAUAGGUUGGUGUAGAACUCUCUGACCAAGUCUUCAUAGGUGUGUUCUUGAAGAGUUAUGAAGUUGGUCCAUCCUUGAGGUUCAGUGAACUCUUUCAUAUUCCAUGCCUUGGUUUCCAGACUUUCAAGGUUGAAAUACUUGGUUCUACACAUUGGUCUGAGAGCAAUCUUUUCUGCCCUUGAAGCUUUUAAGGUAGCAGCAAGUUUGGUAAUAUCUUUACCUUUCCCAUGCUUCUUAGAAGAGCCUUUCUCUUCUUCUUUUUCAGCCUUUUCUUCAGAUUCUUCUCUUCACUUGCUUCUUCAUCUUCAGAGGUCUUUUCCUCAGAUAAGGGCAUAGCUUCAGCAGCAAUCUCCUUCCUCCUUUGAAGUAUUAUCUUUGUAAGUUCCUUAUCCCUUUUUGAGGAAGCUUUUACUGAUUUCAUUGCGUCAGAAAGAGUUUGUUCAGAGUCUUCAUCCUCUUCUUCUGGAUCUUCCUCUGUUUCAUCCUCAGAGUCUUCAUCAUCUUCUUUUUCUUCGUCAGAAUCUAGAUUCACGUGAGAUACCUUUGGUUUCUUCAAAGGUUUCUUCAUCCUUGUUGAUCGUCUGGUAGGUAUUGGUCUGGGUUUGAUGAUGGGUUUCUUAGAGGAUCUGGUUUUGGAAGAUUUGGGAUUUUCAGAAGCAGGAAUGAUUACGUCCUGAAGAAUGGUGCGUACAGGGGUUUCACUCAAAAGUUGUUGAUCAGAGGUUUGAUCAGCAGCGGUGUUGGAUGGUGGUGGUUGAAAAUGUUCUUCGGAAAGUCUUGGGGUAGUUUUGGUUCUAGCCAUUUUUUCAGAAAAUGAAGAACAGAGCAGUUUGAAUUUUUGGGAAAUGAGAUGGAAGUGAAAUAAUCAGAGUUGGUAACUGACUAUAUAGACAAAACGUGCAAGAGAAAAAGAAUAGUAGUGAUAUGAUGACAGUUAGCAUUGGGAAGGAUGAAAAACUGUCAAAAAGCAACGCCUAGGAGAGAGAAAGGAAAAAGUAGCCGUUUGGGAAGAUGAAUGGAUUUUGGAUGAUUUGAUGGUUAAGCCAUUACAUGGUGGUUAAACCUUAAACAUGACUUCUUAUAACCAAGCAUUAAAUGCUUAAGAUUAUGGAUGGAUUUUUUGAACAAGUCAAAACAAGAUCUCACGCCUGAGAUUGUUUGACCCAGAAUUUGGGUUCAGAACAAAAAAUAAGUUUCAAGAACGUCAUGAAUGGAUAAACUCAGAUGAACAUACUUGAUUGUUCUGAUCGUAUGAAUAUUGCAAUGAACAUUCUGAUCAUUUGAACAUUCUGACCUGAUGAACGUUCUGAACUCAGGAACAUUCUGAUGAGAGUGAGAUAAAGAUGGAUCUAUCUGAUUUGUAUCAGAUGACAUCAAGGGGUUUAGUUUAAGGCCCUUAGUGAUCAGUAAUCAAUCUUUAUUAGGAUUUUUCAUGAUUAACAAUUUUUCUUUAAGAAAAUUGAAUCUAUCCUCAACAAGGGGUUUUGUGAAAAUGUCAGCCAAUUGAUUUUCAGUAUCAACAAAGCUUAAUGCAAUAUUCUUUUUCUGAACAUGGUCUCUAAUGAAAUGAUGUUUUAUUUCAAUAUGUUUAGACCUAGAAUGCUGAAUAGGAUUCUUAGAAAGAUUAAUUGCACUUGUAUUGUCACAAUAAAUAGGAACACUUGUGUACCUUAGAGAGUAAUCUUCCAGCUGAUUUCUUACCCAUAAAAUUUGAGAGCAGCAACUAGCUGCAGAUACAUACUCAGCUUCAGUUGUGGAGAGUGCAAUAGUGUUUUGUUUUCUGCAAGACCAUCCAAUCAAUGCUUGUCCUAAGAAUUGACAGGAUCCACUUGUGCUCUUCCUCUCAACUUUGUCUCCAGCAUAAUCAGCAUCACAAUAGGCUACAAGAUCAAAACUAGAACCUUUUCUAUACCAAAGGCCAAGAUCAGUAGUACCUACUAGAUAUCUAAAGAUUCUUUUAACUGCAGUUAAGUGAGAUUCUUUUGCACAUGUUUGAAAUCUAGCACAUAAUCCUACUGCAAACACUAUAUCAGGUCUGCUAGCAGUCAAAUAUAAUAAUGAACCUAUCAUGCCUCUAUAUUCUUUUUCAGAAAUAGAUUUUCCACUCUCAUCCUUAUCUAAACUUGAAGAUGGAUGCAUAGGGGUGCUCAUGAUUUUUGCCUCAUUCAUUUUAUAUUUCUUAAGAAUAUCUUUGACAUACUUUUCUUGACUUAUGAAAAUUCCAUUUGAAUGUUGUUUGAUUUGUAAACCAAGGAAAAAACCAAGUUCACCCAUCAUGCUCAUCUCAAAUUCACUUUGCAUAAGGUUGGAAAAUUCUUCACACAUUUUUAUUUUAGUAGCACCAAAAAUGAUGUCAUCCACAUAUACUUGAACAAUAAGCAAGUCAGUAUUAUGUGUUUUUCUAAAAAGUGUGGUAUCAAUUUUUCCUCUUGAAAAACCAUUUUCAAUUAAAAAUGUACUAAGUCUGUCAUACCAAGCUCUAGGAGCUUGUUUAAGACCAUAAAGAGCUUUUGUUAAUUUGAAAACAUGAUUUGGUUUUUCUUUGUUUAUGAAUCCAGGUGGUUGACUUACAUAAACUUCUUCAUUUAGAAAACCAUUUAAAAAUGCACUUUUCACAUCCAUUUGAAAAAGUUUAAUGCUUUUAUGUGCAGCAUAAGCAAGAAGAAUUCUGAUGGCUUCUAACCUUGCAACUGGUGCAAAGGUCUCAUCAUAGUCAAUACCUUCUUGUUGGUUGUAACCUUGAGCAACUAACCUUGCUUUGUUUCUGACAACUUUACCUUCUUCAUCAAGCUUGUUUCUAAAAACCCAUCUUGUUCCAAUGAUGGUUUUAUCUUGAUUAUUUGGAACCAAGUUCCAAACUUUGUUUCUUUCAAACUGAGAAAGUUCUUCCUUCAUGGCCUUAAUCCAAGAGUCAUCAAUAAUGGCUUCAUUGAUUGACUUGGGUUCCAUUUGAGAAAUCAUUGCCAUGUUGUUAUCUUGAAAGGACAAUCUGGUUCUUACACCAUCAGUUGUGCUUCCAAUGAUUUGAUCAGUAGGAUGAUCCCCUACCAUUCUCCAGCUUCUAGGUGGACUUUGAAAAGAUUGAUCCUGAGCAUUCUGAUCAUCUUCUUUCUCUACUGUGUUCUCAGUAUUUUGAACUGGAACAUUCUGAAGUGUUGGUACUUCAGUGUCUUCAUUCUCUUUAGGUUUAGAAUGUUCAUCAUAUUCAUCAAAUAUGAUAUGCAUACUAAUUUCAACUGUCUGGGUUUUUAGAUUGUACACUCUAUAACCUUUAGAAGUUGUAGAGUAUCCUAAAAAGAUAGCUUUAUCUGAUUUAGGAUCAAACUUACCCAAUUUUUCUUUAUUGUUCAGUAUGUAACAAUAGCAGCCGAAAAUGUGAAAGUAAGAUAUGCUAGGUUUAAUAUUUUUCCAGAGUUCAUAUGGGGUUUUGUUAAGAACCUUUCUUAUAGAAACUCUAUUCAAAAUGUAACAAGAUGUGUUAAUGGCUUCUGCCCAAAAGUAAUUUUCAACAUUUGAUUCAUUUAACAUUGUUCUUGCCAUUUCUUGCAAGGUUCUAUUUUUUCUUUCAACAACUCCAUUUUGUUGUGGAGUUCUUGCACAAGAAAAAUUAUGUUUAAUACCAUUUUCAUCAAAGAAUGUUUUGAAGGAUGCAUUUUCAAAUUCUCCUCCAUGAUCACUCCUAACUGUGAUGAUAUUAUAACCUUUUUCAUUUUGAACUCUUUUGCAAAAGUUUUGAAAUGCUUCAAAAGAUUCAUCUUUAUGUUUUAAAAAUAGCACCCAUGUAAAUCUGGAGAAAUCAUCAACAAUAACAAAUCCAUAUCUUUUGCCAGUUAGACUUGCAGUUUGAACAGGACCAAACAGAUCAAUGUGAAGAAGCUCUAAAGGUUUCUGAGUUGAGAUAAACUCAAUAGUUUUAAAACUACUUUUUACUUGUUUACCUUUAACACAUGCUUCACAGAUUCUGUCCUUUUCAAAGCUAAUCUUAGGCAAACCUCUAACUAGAUCAAGUUGAGAAAGUUUAGCAAUGGUUUUCAUGCUUAUAUGACCAGCCCUUUUGUGCCAGAUCCAUUUGUCUUUUUCAAGAGACAUAAAACAAGAUUCAGCAGGCAUAUCAUUUAGUUCUAAAACAUAUAAGUUCUUUCUUCUUGAACCAGAGAAAAACAAUUUGUUAGAGGAGGUUUGUCUGACUUCACAUAUAUUAGGUUUAAAGAUAACUUCAAAUCCACUAUCACACAAUUGACUUAUGCUAAGUAGAUUAUGUUUUAAACCUUCCACAUACUGAACAUUUUCUAUUCUAGCAGAGUUAAGAUUACCUAUAGUACCUUUACCUCUGAUUUUACCUUUGUCAUUGUUUCCAAAUGUCACUAGUCCUCCAUCCUUCUUUUCAAAAGUUAGAAAACAAUCCCUGUCACCUGUCAUGUGCCUAGAACAACCACUAUCCAGGUACCAUGGUUUUGUUCUUGCACCCUGAGGCAAGACCUACAUUUGACAAGAUAAAAAUUUUAGGUACCCAUGUAAUGUUGGGUCCUUGAAGGUUAGUUCUUCUAAGAGAUCUUUUCUGAAAGUAACAUUCUGUCUUUUAUGAUCAGAUUUGUUACAGUAGAAACAUGUCUUCUUAGCCUUUUCAGCCUUUUGUGAACUUUCUGAUCUAUUGAGAUGAGAACGUUCUGAACUAAGAUUUAAAUUAUUUUGUUUGAUAAAUUUUUUCUUAACAUGACAUACUGAUUCAUUAUGUCCAUACUUAUCACAAAAACAACAUUUAACUCUUAUUUUAGCUUUAGGUACAAAACUUCCAAUAAUUUUGCUUGGAUCCUUAAAGCCUAAGCCAGAUUUCUUAGUACUUUUAUUUUGAGAUCCUACUAUGUUUUGAAAAGUUUCUGUAGAUUUUAUAAACCCUGUCAGAUCCUUUUUCAAUGUUUCAACUUCCUUUUUCAAAAGUAUGUUUUCCUUUUGUACUUCAGAAGGUACAGACAUAAUGCCUUUUUGUUUUCUGUUUAUCUCUCUUUGUUUUUCUGACAUGUCAAAAUGAGAAUCUUGCAGAAUUUUUAUGGUCUUUCUGGACUCAUCAUACUUGUUCUGAAGUAUUUCUUUUUCUUCUUUUAUCUCAGAAAGUUCUUUGAUUAAAGAGUGACAUCUAUUAGUUAAGAAGUUUGAAUCAUAUAAGAGACUAUCAAUUUUGUUUUCAAGAUCUUUAUAUAAAGAAUCAGUUUUAUAGAUAAUUACCUCUUCCUCAUCAUCUGACUGAGCCAUCAGUCCCAUGUCUGUAUCUGCAUCUUCUUGAGAAUCUGAUUCUUCCAUGUCAUCCCAUGUGAUCAUUGCUUUCUUCUUGAAGGGAGGUUUUCUCUGAACCUUUUUGAUGUCAGGACAUUCAUUUUUGAAAUGUCCAGUUUUGUUGCAUCCAUAGCAAGUGACUUGACUUUUGUCAGCUUCAGUUUUGAUGCUGAUGUUGGUCUUUGGAAACUUCUUUCUGAUCUGAUUUCUUCUCAACAUCAUCCUUUGAAUUCUUUUAGAGAUUAGUGCAAGUUCAUCUUCAGCUUCUUCUUCAUGAACUUCUUCUAAUUCUUGUGGUUCUUGCACAUCUUCAUCAUCAACUGAUGAGGUUUGCUGAGAUGCUUUCAAGGCAAGUGUUCUUACCUUCUUCACUGGUUUGUCUCCUUGAAGUACAACUUCAUGAGCUCUUAGUGAACCAAUGAGAUCUUCCAGGUUCAUAGAUUUUAAAUCUUUGGCCUGAGUGAUUGCAGUGACCAUAGGUCUCCACAUACUUGGAAGACAUCUCAGAAUUUUUCUAAUUCUAUCAUGAGUGGAAUAUGCCUUUCCAAGAGAUCUCAUUUCAUUUACUAUUGUAGUAAAUCUUGCAUACAUCUCAUCAAUGGUUUCAUUUUCACUCAUUUCAAAGACUUCAAAUUUUCUGACUCCAAUGUCAAUUCUAGUUUCUUUGACAUGAGAAGUACCCUCAUGAUGUAUUUUCAGAGUAUCCCAUACUCCUUUAGCAUUUGUACAUUCAUCAACUCUUUCACUUUCUUCCAUGGUUAGUGCACAUGAUAGAAAGAGUCUAGCUUUAGAGUUUAGUAAUACCUGAGCUUUUUCAUCUGUUGACCAUGCACUUUUUGCUUUGACAGCUCCUUCUUUGUUUGUUGGAACAAAGUCUCCAUUUGUGAUGACUGCCCACAUAUCAUUGUCUUGAGAUCUGAGAAAGAGUUCCAUCUUGCCUUUCCAGAAAUAGUAGUUUGAUCCAUCAAAGAGUGGUGGUCUAUUUGAAGAUCCUCCUUCAGCUAUGUACUUGACUUUAGACAUACUUCCUGAAUCUUUUCUCUAACACUUGUUUAAGUGUUCAAACCCUUAGAACCAGGCUCUGAUACCAAUUGAAGUAGAUAAAAUAGUCACAAGGAAGGGGGGGUUUGAAUUGUGACCCUUUAAAAAUUAUCCUGAAACUUAAAAGUGAUUCUCAAGUUGUUUACUUGGAAUUAUGUUAACUUUCUGACUUCAGAAUGUUCUGAAGUUCAUAAACAAAAUUGCUUAAUAAAGUAUAAGUGUAAGUGUGUGUUGUGUAUACUGUAAAUAAAAAGGUAUAGAGAAGAAAGAAAGAACACACAAAGAGUUAUAGUGGUUCACCCAAUGUGGGCUAGUCCACUCCCCACAAUCCUGUGAGAGUUUCCACUAAGAUGCUUGAGAUAACCUCUCAAGUCCUGCACCUUACAAUCUUGUUCACCUGAACAAUUACACUCCUGUAUUCUCUAAGCCUCAGCAGGCUUGCACCUUCUUGCUAAGUUAACCACUUAGACUUUUACAACCUUUGCUCAACCUAACACUUUAGGACCUCUAAAAGCUAGAUGAGACUUUGUUACAAUUUGUAUGGAAGUUGGGUGUUUGUAAAACAAACAAUGAAAGAAGAAGAAGAGGUUAUCCUACAGAUAACAAGAGUAUUGAUUUGCACUAAGUUGAUGAAAGACUUAGAGAUUGAUCAAUUUCAGUUUGCAAAAGCUUCAAACAAAAUCAAAGUUGUUUUCUUGUAUGCUUUGCAAUGGUGCAAGUUUUGCUAAGGCCAAGCCCUCUAUUUAUAGAGUCCUUGGGCUCAUAUAGCCGUUGUAGGGUGUCCAAUGGUGUUAUGCCAUGUGUCCUGGGUCCCACAAGCUUUAACUUGAAAUUCUGGGCAAACAUUCUGAUCUCUGAUUAACAUCAGAAUGUUGUUGUGUUCAUGAUGAUCUUCAUCUGGGUUCAUCAUGUAUGAAUGAACACAUGAAGUUCUGGGCUAUGCAUAUGCUUUUCAUAUGAAUUUCUGGACAAUAACCAAUGUAUGGACUUUUCUUCAUACAUCAGAAUGUUCCUUUCCCAGAUUUUGUCUUGGAACCGGUGCAGGAGGAUUUAGUGGGAUUCUGCAUCUUCAUGCCCAUGCUUUGAGAGAUUGUGUUGUCCUUGAUCAGUACCAACUCUCAGACGUGUCUAUCUCUUGUUGGAGAUGACAGAUUUGCUUUGCUUUUGCUUUUUGCUUUUCACCUACUAUACUGUUCAUAAAGUAAGCAUGAGCUGAGCUUGAACAUUCUGAUCAUCAGAAUGUUCCAUCUGUUUCACUUAGGAUGAUUUGUAAGACUAUCAUUUGAUGUAAUCAAAUCCUAAUAGUGAAACAAUAAUGAAGAGCAGUGAUGAUAACAUCUAGGAUGAUAUUCCUUUGUGAAAUAUUCCUAGUACAUCAAUGUUCAUAGUCUUAAAUGAACAUUGAAUGCCUUCUUUGACAUAACUCUUGUAUAUGCCUUUAUUGCUUGAUUGAUCCAUGCAAAUGUACUUUCCUGGACAUAUAUUCAUGUCACAUGUGCCUUGCAUGACCUUGAUCACAGUUCUUGAGAUUCUUGGCUUGUAUAAGAACAACCUUCUGAACUAGGUUGCUUCUGAACAACCUUCUGAACUAGGUUGCUUCUGAACUGGUUGCUUCUGAACUGGUUGCUUCUGAACAACCUUCUGAACUAGGUUGCUUCUGAACAACCUUCUGAACUAGGUUGCUUCUGAACUGGUUGCUUCUGAACAACCUUCUGAACUGGGUUCUGAACAACCUUCUGAACUGGGUUGCUUCUGAACAGGGUUGCUUCUGAACAAGGUUGCUUCUGAACAGGGUUGCUUCUGAGCAAGGUUGCUUCUGAACAGGGUUGCUUCUGAGCUCUCAUCAGAACGUUCUGAUCAACUUUCUGAUCAACAUUCUGAAC